RNAcentral lists this long non-coding RNA (2048 nucleotides) under Sus scrofa (pig). RNAcentral describes it as "lncRNA (ENSSSCG00005042055.1)". Lineage: Eukaryota; Metazoa; Chordata; Mammalia; Artiodactyla; Suidae. The record is from RNAcentral.
UAGGCCACCAGAGAAUUCCUAUGAAAAUAGUUUUGACCUGAAGACCUCCCUAUGAUUAGACAACAGGAAUAUAAGCACCAUCAUCCCCUCAAGGAGCAACCUUAAAAAGCAAAAAAAAAAUUCCCCCACUUACUAAUCUAAUACAGUUGUGAGAAGUGCUAUGACAGCUUUCAAGUGGGGAAUCCAAUAUCGUGGAGUUAAGGGCAUCAAGGAAGGCUUCCUUGAAAAGUGAUGUGUUGAGACCAUUCUUUUCAGUGACUGGUGUUCAGAGUCCUUUAACUUCCUUUCCAUUUUGAUUGCCAUCAUUGUAUAACAGACCCCAUCGCUUCCUGUCAGGACUACUGUAAAAGACUCUCCUAAGUUUGGUCUCUCUGCCUUCAACCCUACAACCCAUCCUGUAUCUGUAGCCAGAUUAAAUUUCCUAAAAGACUGUUUCUAUAGAGAAACAUGGUACCCUAAGCUAAGUAAGGGAUACCGACUAGGUAAGUCAGAUUAGAAUUUUGAAUCUGUAGCUCCUAAUUGCUGUGUUUACAGGAGAAUUAUUAAACCUCACUGAGCUUUAGUUUCACACUCUGUAAGAUGAAGUUUUAUACAUCAGAACCACACUAAACUCACUGGCAAGUCUGCCAUACUAACUGGUACAGAACUGUCACUCAACGAAUAUUAGUUCAUUUCUUCUAACCUACAUUUCCAUUAGCUUUUGCCUAUGGUAUGCACUAGGGUAAAUUGCUAUUACUUGUAAUAAAAAGUCUGGGGUGGGAUUUUAACCAAAGGUUAAUAAAAAGAAAAAACCACUGUCCCUACACUAGAGGGUGGGGUUAGUUAGCUAGUAAAAUAACGAAUUCUAUAAAUGUGCUGAGAAAAUGUGUUACUGUUCAGAAAAAGCCAAUCACAAACAUGUUUAAAAAAAAAAAAAACAAACAAACCUAGAAAACAAAGGGUGACUAAGUACCAGUACAAACUAAAUAUCUGGGGGAAAAGGCUGGAAAAGUAGGAUUAAAUGCAACCAUGACUUUGAGAUACAAUCAGAGAGGCAGAAAUAGUCUCUAGUCAGCAAGAAAGGUAUACACCAUGACACCAGUAAUAAGUCAUCAAGUUUGACUCUGGCCUAGAUAAAACAGACCUAAAUAUUUCAUUCCAUGCUAUUAAUAGUUCUUUAAUAAACCAGUUUCUCACCCACUUCAUCAAGAAUGGGGAUCAUGGGAGUUCCAAUUAUGGCUUAGCGGGUUAAGAACCCAACUAGUAUUCAUUGGGUUAAGGAUACGGGGUUGCCAAAAGCUGUGGUAUAGAUUGCAGAUGCAGCUCUGAUCCCGUGUUGUUGUGGCAUAGGCCAGCAGCUGAAGCCCUGAUUUGACCCCUAGCCCAGGAAUUUCCAUAUGCCACAAGUGUGGCCCUAAAAAAGCAAAAAUAAAUAAAUAAAUAAAUGAAAAUAAAAAGGAGGCAGGAUAAUGGAUAAUAAACUUUUCUGGAGAAAAAAGUUCCCCAACAUGAACAGUACACUACUAGGUAACAAAAUCAAGAAUUUUUAGCCUGCAAAGUAUGAGACUCCUGAGUAUGUGGCUGGACAAUGGGCUGUACAAUUAAGUCUGGCCUAAAACAAACUAGUCUUACCCUGGGAAUGUGGAUCCCUAACAUAUUCUGGAUUAAGAGUUGUAAACUGUAAUUAUAACAAACCUCCUCCAUACAUAACAACUGUUAAGAGAAACAAUGCGUAGUUCAAAUUUUGUAUAUCUUUCUUUUCUUUUCUUUUUUUUUUUCUUUUCUAGGACCGCGCCCACAGCAUAUGGAGGGUCCUAGGCUAGGGGUCUAAUCGUACCUGUGGCUGCUGCCACAGCCACAGCAAUGCAGGAUCCGAGCCACAUAUGGACCUAUACCACAGCUCAUGGCAACGCUGGAUCCUUAACCCACUGAGCGAGGCCAGGGACCGAACCUGCAGCGUCAUGGUUCCUAGUUGGGUUCGUUAACCACUGCGCCACAACAAGAACUCCAAAUUUUGAAUAUCUUAAAAAAAAAAAAAAAUUAAAGCCUAAAAACCUUCAGUGUUCUCA